This is a long non-coding RNA of Antechinus flavipes (yellow-footed antechinus), 477 nucleotides long. RefSeq lists it as uncharacterized. The record is from RefSeq and is a predicted model, not a curated record. Lineage: Eukaryota; Metazoa; Chordata; Mammalia; Dasyuromorphia; Dasyuridae. The transcript has 3 exons.
CAAAAGAGUGGUACUGAGUCAGAGCAUAUACUUGUUCAGGGGCUACUGAAUAAUUAUCUGGAUAUAGAAUAUGUGAAUGGAAAAGACAAGACUAGAAAGCUUCCCAAACAUUGAGGAAGUCUGGCAAUGCAUAUGUCAAUCUCAUUAUGAAUGUGAACAUUGGAAAGUAUACUGCCAAGGUGGAGAAAUAGAGGUAAGGGGUAUAAUCUGUAAGGAAGAAGAUUUCUGCUCUACGUGAAGAGCUGUGGAGAGAGAGGCUGGCAAAGAGCAGGCUGGCCCCUGACACCAGUAGCUGUGUGACCGUGGGAGAAUCAUUUGAACUCUGAGUGUUUCAAGACAAUGUUCUCCAAAUUAUUUUGACAAUCUAUCAGCAAAACAUUUUGUGUAUUUGUAAUUUAUAUGCAUGUAAUACUGUACUAAUAGGUUGAACUAUGAAAUAUAUACAAAAGUAAAUAUUAAAAAGGAGAUAAAGGUGAA